GACGAACGCUGGCGGCGUGCUUAACACAUGCAAGUCGAACGGUGAAGCGCCUUCCUUUUUGGUGGGUGUGGAUGAGUGGCGAACGGGUGAGUAACACGUGAGUAACCUGCCCCCUUCUUCUGGAUAACCGCAUGAAAGUGUGGCUAAUACGGGAUAUUCUGGGUCUGUCGCAUGAUGGGUCUGGGAAAGAUAUUGUUUCGGUGGGGGAUGGGCUCGCGGCCUAUCAGCUUGUUGGUGGGGUGAUGGCCUACCAAGGCGGUGACGGGUAGCCGGCAUGAGAGGGUGGACGGUCACACUGGGACUGAGACACGGCCCAGACUCCUACGAGAGGCAGCAGUGGGGAAUAUUGCACAAUGGGCGCAAGCCUGAUGCAGCGACGCCGCGGGAGGGAUGGAGGCCUUCGGGUUGUGAACCUCUUUCGCCAGUGAAGCAGGCCUGCCUCGUUUGUGGGUGGGUUGACGGUAGCUGGAGAAGAAGCGCCGGCUAACUACGUG
Molecule: ribosomal RNA, 494 nt
Filed under: uncultured bacterium
Lineage: Bacteria
Description: partial 16S ribosomal RNA
Rfam family: Bacterial small subunit ribosomal RNA
Source: RNAcentral